RNAcentral lists this ribosomal RNA (469 nucleotides) under uncultured bacterium. Its description in RNAcentral is "partial 16S ribosomal RNA". It matches the Rfam family "Bacterial small subunit ribosomal RNA", at positions 28 to 507 of the family's 1533-position model. The record is from RNAcentral.
GAUGAACGCUGGCGGCGUGCUUAACACAUGCAAGUCGAACGGUGAAGCUCCAGCUUGCUGGAGUGGAUCAGUGGCGAACGGGUGAGUAACACGUGAGCAACCUGCCCCUGACUCUGGGAUAACAGCCGGAAACGGCUGCUAAUACCGGAUAUGCACCAUGAACGCAUGUUCUGUGGUGGGAAAGAUUUUUCGGUUGGGGAUGGGCUCGCGGCCUAUCAGCUUGUUGGUGAGGUAAUGGCUCACCAAGGCGUCGACGGGUAGCCGGCCUGAGAGGGUGACCGGCCACAAUGGGACUGAGACACGGCCCAGACUCCUACGGGAGGCAGCAGUGGGGAAUAUUGCACAAUGGGCGAAAGCCUGAUGCAGCAACGCCGCGUGAGGGAUGACGGCCUUCGGGUUGUAAACCUCUUUUAGCAGGGAAGAAGCGAGAGUGACGGUACCUGCAGAAAAAGCGCCGGCUAACUACGUG